Molecule: long non-coding RNA, 1087 nt
Organism: Spinacia oleracea (spinach)
Lineage: Eukaryota; Viridiplantae; Streptophyta; Magnoliopsida; Caryophyllales; Amaranthaceae
Exons: 4
Source: RefSeq, a predicted model, not a curated record
UUUAUAUAUUUUACCGUAUAUUUAAUAUAUUUAAAUAAGAAUUUAUGAAUUUUGGAAAUAAAUAUAUAAUUAACAUAUAUUUAUUUAUUACAUAUUAAUAUUUUCAACGAUUUACGAAAUCGAAAAUGAUUUUAGAAUUUUAAGUAGAAAAGAAUUUGAAUUACGAAAAUUGAUUGAAUUUAGAAAACGAUCCUAUUCAGUUUUGGAUUCGAAUCAUAAAAGCUAAAUCCUAAUUCUAGCCCACUUGGGAAAGCCCAAUAUUAAAACCCAAAACUCAAACCCUCCCUUUACUCUAAUUCACGUAAAACAAAAAUAAAAAAAUAAACAAAGCCAAAACCCCAUUUGAACUUCACGUGAAAACGCAAAAGAGAAAAAAAAAAGAAGCAAAACCUAUCUCUCAUUCAAACUCACGUAAACUAGCAAACCCUCAAACCUUGGUACUCUCUGCCCAGCCGCCAGCCACCAUACACCCGCCGGACCUCCACCGUCCUCGUCACAGCCGCCCCAGCCGCCGACCACCUACCGCCGCCGCGACCGCCAGCUGCACGGUAACCUUCUUCUUCUCCUUCGUUCUUCUUCCUUUCUCUUUCGUUCGUUUCUUGCAGCUUCGCUACCCUUCUCACGAUCUUUUUCGCUCUUGCUCUCCUCGCUCGUUUUGGUUUUUGCGCAGCAGCAACCGAGUCGCGCCACCCUCUCCUUGCUGUCGCCGAGCAGUGCUGCCGCCUCCGGCCGCGCCUCACCGCCUGCCACCGUCGUCCUCUCUCGUCGGCGGAGAAUUCUCCUUAGGCGACUUUUGAAUUAUUAAAGUGGUCUUGCAGUUUGUUUACACAAGUCUCUAAGGAUCAAUAAGCGUUGCCCAUCUACAGGUUUGAAGAUGAUGCAUCAUUGGGAUCGGGAUUAGAGAGCUUGUAGUUAUAUUUGUUUUAUUAAGUGAUUUGGGUUGUUAACUUAUAUUUGAAAGUUGUCGUACUAUUCGUAUUUCCUUAUUUCCGUUAAUUGGUUUUGGACUUAGUAUGUAAUCGAUUAUUUAUGAACCUAAAAGUUAGUUUUAUGUUUUCCGCUGCAAAAUUCUGAAUAAGCCGUACGU